Molecule: ribosomal RNA, 516 nt
Filed under: uncultured bacterium
Lineage: Bacteria
Description: bacterial SSU rRNA
Rfam family: Bacterial small subunit ribosomal RNA
Source: RNAcentral
GAGUUUGAUCCUGGCUCAGGAUGAACGCUGGCGGCGUGCUUAACACAUGCAAGUCGAACGGGAAAUACUUCAUUGAGACUUCGGUGGAUUUGAUCUAUUUCUAGUGGCGGACGGGUGAGUAACGCGUGGGUAACCUGCCUUAUACAGGGGGAUAACAGUCAGAAAUGGCUGCUAAUACCGCAUAAGCGCACAGAACCGCAUGGUUCGGUGUGAAAAACUCCGGUGGUAUAAGAUGGACCCGCGUUGGAUUAGCUAGUUGGCAGGGCAGCGGCCUACCAAGGCGACGAUCAGUAGCCGGCUUGAGAGAGUGAACGGCCACAUUGGGACUGAGACACGGCCCAAACUCCUACGGGAGGCAGCAGUGGGGAAUAUUGCACAAUGGGGGAAACCCUGAUGCAGCGACGCCGCGUGAGUGAAGAAGUAUCUCGGUAUGUAAAGCUCUAUCAGCAGGGAAGAAAAUGACGGUACCUGACUAAGAAGCCCCGGCUAACUACGUGCCAGCCGCCGCGGUAAUAC